Molecule: long non-coding RNA, 902 nt
Organism: Herpailurus yagouaroundi (jaguarundi)
Lineage: Eukaryota; Metazoa; Chordata; Mammalia; Carnivora; Felidae
Exons: 5
Source: RefSeq, a predicted model, not a curated record
UAAGGUUAAAGCAGGAUAUUUCUGAGCCUAGCCAUCAUUUUGGGUUUUCGCUGUAUCUCCCCAUCCCAUUUUUUCAUCUAAAGGUCUUCCGGCAAAACUAGUGAGGAGGCUCCUGAGCGCGUGACUCAGGAGUGACAAUCGCUAACAGAUGCAUUUGUACCCGGGCAGAACUGGCCUCUAAUUGUUGCUUGUAGGAGAAAAGGCAAAGCGACUGUAGCACCGCCGUUCUCUGUUGCUGGCAGAUAACAACCUCGAGAUGAAGCCACAUUUGCAGGGGAAAAAUUGCUUACGCCCACAGAAUGAAAUUUCAGGCUUUGACAGCUGCUAGGUUGGCCAGAGGUUGACUGAUACAGACCAGGGAGCUCCGCUUUAAGUGGCAGAUCUGGCUGAAAAGUUCUUUGGUGGGUUAAACUCAGGCAUAUUCUAUAAAUAUGCCUUAUUCUAGUGACCAGGCUGAACGCGAAGCUCUCCUUAUGGCGGUCGCAGAGGUGCAAGAGAGGAAGUGGAAGGCCAUGACGCAUCUUAAGGACCAGACUCAGAAGUGGCACAUUGAAAUCUACACCAUUCUACUGGCUUUCCGAAUGAGCAGAGUCUGGCUAGCCAUUCUUCUACCCUUGCAAGCAGAAAGAAGGCUGGACUUCCUGGGGAACGGAAAGUACGCAGACUGCUGAGAUAAACCGCGAUUCACUGCUGCUGAAUGUACCACACGUCAGCCCACCUCCUGCCACUGCAACUCCGCACAGAGAACAGAACAGUCUCGCAGAGAAAGGAACAGUCUCAGGAAGAACCCAUUCAGCACCCGACUAAAAAAUGAUCUCAUAGGGGCGCCUGGGUGGCUCAGUCGGUGAGCAUCUGACUUCGGCUCAGGUCAUGAUCUCACGGUCUGUGAGUUCGAGCCCCGC